AAUUCCUUAACUAAUAAAGAAUUUAAAGAUUUAAAAACAAACAAAUAAAAAAACCAACAAGCUACUCCAAUGUUCAUCUCAUCUUCUUCCUCAGAAUAACAACUUUAAAAGAAUCAAGCUAAACCACAUAAGGAAGUAACUAAAUUAUGAACUGUUCAUCUUUCUCAAGAAAUGUGUUUUGACUAACAUCGUAAAGCCAAUUUACCAACAAAUAUCAUUGGAGAUGUUUUGGGGAGCUCACUUCUGUGCUUAACUUGAGAAUAAAUGGCAUGAAAAUU
Molecule: long non-coding RNA, 278 nt
Organism: Myotis davidii
Lineage: Eukaryota; Metazoa; Chordata; Mammalia; Chiroptera; Vespertilionidae
Exons: 2
Source: RefSeq, a predicted model, not a curated record